Molecule: long non-coding RNA, 25446 nt
Filed under: Eucalyptus grandis
Lineage: Eukaryota; Viridiplantae; Streptophyta; Magnoliopsida; Myrtales; Myrtaceae
Description: long non-coding RNA (EGRA_LNC003566)
Source: RNAcentral
GGUAUAACAAAUUUGUCUAGCAUAGGUCCGCUUGAAUACCUUGAGGAGCUAGAUAUAUGCAACUCAGAAAACUUAGGGGUGCUCUGUGGAGGAAAAGACAAAGAAGUAAUCGACAUCUUUGCCCCAGCCCUUGCGCCUCUCCUCUUCUCGAGCCUUGGGUAUUUGAAAAUAUGGGAGUGUCCGAAACUGAAGUAUCUCUUUGGGCAUGGGUCUAAAUUCGACCUUCCACAUCUACGAGUGAUUGAAAUAGAGGAAUGUGAGGAGACGGUGGGGAUAAUAGCAGCAGUUACAUCCCCACCACCACAUCCGCUCCCAUUUUUCCCUAGUCUGGAACAGAUAAUAGUUAGGGUGUGUGAUAAAAUGAAGAGAGCGGUGGAAUCUGAGUGGAUGCCCCACUUCCCUAAUCUGAGAUGUAUUCGUGUAUCGGGUUGUGAUGAGAUGGAGGAGAUAAUCGGAGGUCCUCCCCCAUACUCGCCGGAUGAACAGAUUUCUCUCGAAUCUCUUCAAGUACGUUACUGCAAUAACAUGAGAAAGCUGCUUACGUAUGAGUGGCUGCUCCAUCUUCUAAAUCUUCAAAGUAUCGAGGUCGAUGAGUGCAAAGGAAUGGUGGAGUUGAUAAGCGGAGCGGGACAAGGCCAAGAAGGAAGCAUAACGACUUCUGUAAACAACACUCCUUCAUCCUUCCAGCCUUCUUCAAUUUCUCUCCCAAAGCUAGAGUGUUUGAAGCUACGCGAUCUACACCAGCUGAAGAGCAUAUACGAAGCCCCAAUAAGCUGCGAUUUCAUGAAAAGAUUGGACGUGUGCAGAUGCCCAGAACUGAAGAGGAUUCCUUUGCAACUGCGAUUGUGUGAAAUUGAGGAGCUUCCGCAUAUCUGGAUGCAUGAAGAGGAAAAUUGGAAGACGUUGGUGUGGGAUCAUCCCGAUGCUCAGGCUAUUCUUCGACCUUAUCUCCGAAAAGGGCCAGACUGGCUUCCAAAUGCUAUAGGUUAAUGAGUUUAAUUGAUAUACGAUUGCUUCACUUCUUAAAAGUCCUUUCAAAGAUAUAGCUUUUCUGUCUAUAUAGUCAUGCAGCUCUAACGGCGGCCUUUUGCAGAACUGUUCGCCGGGGGAAAGGAUCAUCCUUGGCUCUAAUCUUGAAGAAAGCCCUGCUACUCAAGCAUGCUUUCCUGCAAACUCGACUCAAGUUGCCAUAUGAAUUGACUUUCUUUAAUGUGGCCAUGCUUUGUGUAUUUGAACGCAAUCGCAUUUUUUUUGGCUACUGGAAAUGAGUCAAUCUGGUCGAUAUUUCGGGUUAGUCAAAAAAAUGAAAGGACAAUUUAUUAUUAUGGAUUGAUCUUCCAGGAAUAUUAGCCUUCAGAGAAAAGAGAGAAUUUUAGGCAGCAGUACCUUUAAUCUGUUUGUGUUUAGAAAUGAUUUCAAAUAUAAUAUUGCUCUAACUUGUCGAUCGAAAAUGUUGNNNNNNNNNNNNNNNNNNNNNNNNNNNNNNNNNNNNNNNNNNNNNNNNNNNNNNNNNNNNNNNNNNNNNNNNNNNNNNNNNNNNNNNNNNNNNNNNNNNNAGUAUAGAAUACUUGAUUUGCUUUAGUUAGUUGUAUCAUAUCUGGAAACACAGGCGGCCCAGGAAAGUUUUUCUUUCCUCCCCUUUGCUGUAAAAGGUCACCUUAGCCCCCACUUUAGGGUUAAAAUGUAAAAAGACCAAGAAGAAAGAAUUGCACAAUUAUCACCCCUCUUUGAAUGCCUCGAAGUCAUGAAUAGAUGGAUAACCCUACAUCUUCAGCUCAAGUUGCUGAAACCACUAGCAAGUCAAUGGGGAAAAGGCCAGCUUAUUGGAUGUGGCACUUUCGGAAGUGUUUACAUCGCAAGCAACUGGUAAGUUAGCUCUGGGAAACUUUGACAUGCUCAAUUUUUUAAACAUCCAGUCGGUUGAACUUUGACAUGUUCCGUGACAGAGAAACCAGAGUUCUGGGUGAAUGGAAGGAGUUUGAGCUAUUGCCUAAUGAUCCAAAUUUGGCUGAGUGCAUGAGGCAGUUUAAGCAGGUAAUGUUUUUGUUAUGCUUUGGCAUCUAAUCCAUCCUCUCGUCUGAUCUAAAUAUGCUGUGAGGAAACUUUCUUUCAUCAUUUCCAGUUAAUUGAUUGCUUUGCUACUAUAGGAAAUUCAGGUACUUAGCCAGCUUAGACAUCCGAACAUUCUGCAGUAUUAUGGCAGUGAAAUUGUGAGUCAACUUUCCACGACACAUGUCCCAGCUCAACAGGCAUUCAUAAUUUGACUCACCAAAAUUUCAACAUGUCCAUACAUACUCAGGUUGAGGAUCAGCUCAACGUAUAUCUAGAAUAUGCACAUCACGGUUCGAUAGACAAGUAUAUAAAGGAACGUCUUGGGACCCUGACAGAAUCGGUUGUCCGCACUUUUACCUAUGAUAUUGUGACUGGAUUGGCUUCACUGCAUGUUAACAACUCCAUACAUGGAUAAUUUGAAACCAUUGAUCAAGCAUCGUGAAAUGACUUGCAUAUUGGAUUAGGACGAUUGCGCUAUUUGGUUAGCGCAGGGAUUUAAAGGGAGCUAAUUUAUUUGUGGAUGCAUCCGGGAUAGUCAGACUUGCUGACUUUGGGAUUGCUAAACAUGUGAGUUUCGACCUCUUCACUGCAAGACUACUGACUGCAUGUGGAAAUUCCUAGCAGAUCUGUGGUGCAUUUGAAUGUGAAGUCAGGGACCCAGGGUGACUGUGUACUUCUCACCACUGGUUUGUGGCAUUUCAUCUGUGCAAAAAUCUAUUAUAGAUGGAUGUUAUUGAGUAAUUUUCUUCACUUUUUUUUCCCAUUGUCUUGAGUAAAGUUACUAUGUUGCAUAAACGGGAAAAGAUUUCUCGCUGCAAACAGAUGCCAAAACCUAAUGAGAAUUCUUUCCUCUUCUAGUGGUUUCCAAAAAGUUCCUAAGACCGAUAGUGAAUAGAACCCAAUACCUUUGGCAAAAGGUUGUGUUGUUGUUUUUGCUGCUCCUCUGCAUUCCAAAAGAAGGAUUGAAUUUAGUCAGAGUAAAGAAGGGCCUCCUUCCUAACAUGGGGCAAAUAAAAGUGUAUUGGUCCAUAGAAUGGAAUUUGGGACAGUAGCCAUAGUAUCGUUGCUCUCUUUUUGAAUUCUCAAGCAUUUGCUGAAAUCAUGUUGUUGAUUGCUUCAUGGUCCUUCUUCUCAGUAAUGAGCUAACAUAAGUUGAAAGUGGUUGAUUCAGUUGUCAAUCUAAUGUAUCUAUGUCUACCAAAGAUGUUGCUAUUUUANNNNNNNNNNNNNNNNNNNNNNNNNNNNNNNNNNNNNNNNNNNNNNNNNNNNNNNNNNNNNNNNNNNNNNNNNNNNNNNNNNNNNNNNNNNNNNNNNNNNUUACUAAUGCCAUACCAUUUGUUAGCUAACCAGACAAGUAGCUUACUACUCUUUGAAGGGAAGUCUAAACUGGUGGCUCACGAGAUACUCUGCUUUUGUGAACGUUAAUGCUACAUUCCUUUUUUGUUGUGGCGGAAUGAUGGAAUAAUAUAUCGUGCAGCUCAUACAAUCAUUGAUGGUGAAUAAUUACAGCAUGGAUCUCGAUCGUGCUGCCGACAUGUGGAGUUUGGGACAUACUAUUAUUGAAAUGAUAACUGUGAAGCUUCCUAGGAGUGAGUAUGAGCGGGUACAUUUGCUGCAUUGCUUUUUCAUUUUCUCUGUCCUUCCAAGGAAUAUGCUUCCGACUAAAUCCAUCACCAUUUUCUGUAGGAAGUUUGGGACUAUACAUAUUACCAUUUGGUAUGUGAUCUGUGUCAUGAGUUUCUGUUUAAGGUUGAAUCAUUAAUGCAGGCUCAAGUCAUAUUUAAGGUGAUGUGAAGUUCUCCAGCAAUACCUGAGACAUUAUCUCCCGAGGGAAAGGAUUUCCUGCAGUGCUGCUUUCGAACACAGCCUGCCAAGAAGCCUUCAGCAACUAUGCCACUUGAGCAUGCUUUCCUGCGAAUUUGAAGUUGCUUAUGAUUGACUUAUUUCAAGUGCCAUACGUUGUUGCAAAUGGAUGUGGUACUGUAAAGUUCCAUAUUUACUAAACUAGAAUAAUCACAGGGUCCAUAGAUGUGAUGAAGUACUUGUAUAUCGACGAAAUAAGAUGCAUGUUCCUCUCGCAUGGUUUGACCAGUGUCAUACUACGAUCUAGGCAAAUUUGACAGUGUUGCUUAAUCUAAACAUUUUACUACAGAGUGCAUUCUUAUCAUAAACAUUUUGUAUGAAGUACAUUUAUUCAUCAAAAUUGAAUGGUAUUGAUAUGGCUCCAAAUAAGAAACGGAUCAGCAAAACAAAAGUAAUAAAACCCAAGGAAAAAGGAAAAGAAAAAGAAAAUCGAAGUGAUAGUGCAUCAGAAUUCCUGAAAUAAUUUGGAAAGGAAAUACUCUGUCGAUUUGGUGGGAGGAACAUUGGCAGGUUUGGCAAACCUGCAACGUCUUAGGAUUUUGGAAGUGAAGGGAGAAAUAUCAAAGUUACGGGCAUUGGAGGCUCUUAAUUCUUCCGGACAGACCACAAUGGCUUUUCUCGAUUCACCGGAAAUUGGUGAUGGUGAUGAGGGCCACUCUGAUUGGAGAAAUUUCAUGUAUUUGUUGAGAUCAACGAUGAUGAUGAUCCAAGAUUUGCAAUUUUCGAGAGGAGAAUCAACGUUGAUUGUUGCGAUAAUGCACGUCAGGGCAGCAGGGAAAAGUUUUUUCCCUGGUGGUUUUGCCCCCAAGUGAUGCUGCAAGUUUGCUGGAUUUCCCCCUAACGGUUUUUUGUCAUUUCCCGGAACGUUUCUGGAAUAAUUUUGCAUGUUGUGUCUAUAAGAUGCAAAUAGCUAGUGAAAUUUGUUAAAAAUAUCUCAUGUGGUUCGUUUACAAGAUUUUAAUAGGCCUUAUAUUUAUAUAAUUUACCUUCACUUACUUGUUCAAAUAUUUAGGUUGGAUUUUCUCCUAUGUGCAAAUAGCAAUUUCUACGUGAAAUGCAAACUAAACAUGCUUCCUUUUUUUCAUUAUUUUUUCUGCAAUUAAAGUGAUUCCUCUACCCUAAUGCAUACCAGAAAUAUAUUCAAAAGUGUGACAGGAAAAAGAACUCCUUGAAAUUUUGCAAAGUAGGAGGCGCUUUUUAGACCAAGCGAUGUCUCUCGGCUGCAUUGAAUUGUGUCUUCGUUUUCGUUUUCUUUUGUUCUUUUCCUCAAUCUUCAACCAACAUUCUAACCAUAAGGCGCCUUCUCUUUUGUCCCUGUUCUCUCCCCCUUUCUUUCGUACAACUCGCUCUUCUUUUCCUGCUGUUUUUUUUUUUUUUUUGUAAUGAAGACUACUAAUUGGUGUUUGGUCUUUCAAAGUGUAGCAUUAUUGAGCAUCAUCAUCAACUCAUCAAGUUCGCUAAACUCAGUCAUCAAUUAACUAACAAUUCUUGUCUAACAGGAACUGCACCAACGAAGCAAGAAAAAGAUAAACAAAAACUCAGGCAAGAACUCAUUCGUUUUCAAGACUCGGUCAUAAAAAUCGAGGAAAAGAAACUAUGAAUAUGUGCCGGAUUUUUCUCUGCUGCCGUGUCCUUUUUCACCUACUUUUGACCCAGAAUUCGACCAUUUACAGCUCUCGGUUCCUUUUGUGUGUUUUCACACUGCUAAUUUCCUUCAUUCACACACGAAGGAAAGUCGUGUUGAAAGUGGCCUCCUUUCGGCCAACCAGGAGGAGGGAACGGAAAGGACUUCACUUCGAAGAGCGGGCACGUCCAAAAUUCUCAUAAGAAUUCCCAUUUAAAUUCGCCUGGAAAUUCAGAGUCGGGUUGUGUAACAGAUUGGUUCACAAUAAUUGCACUCUUAUUAGAAAGGGCAGUACAAUCACAAGAAUGUGAGAUUACAAAUGGAGUUUAUUAUGGGUCAAAUUAUCAGUGUUUUUCUUCGUUAGUUUUUAUGAAGAUGCGAUUGAAACCUUUGAGCUCGUAACAGUAAUUUAACUUAAAAAUUAUUGAGUUAUUAUAGUCUUUAAAUCAUUCUUGGGACAUUUUUUUUUCUUUUUGAUCUAAAGAUCCAAACUACAUAUGAAACGAGUCCCGUGAUUGGGAAAACACGAAUUUAGCAUAUUAUGCUUGCUCCUAAAUAUUUUUAUGUGGAUGCCACAUAACAAGUACCUAUAUAAGUUCAUGCAAAUAGGAUCUAGCGAAUUAACAAUCCAAAAUUUGAGAGAAAAUAUGAAGUAAUUUUGUGCAUUUUUGAAACUCUGUUAGUGUACAUUCUUGUAGUUUUUCCUUGUCCAAAUAUACUGAUUUUCAACUUUCACUAAGAUGUUGCAAAUUCAAUUAGAAGCAUAUGAUUAAUAGUCCUAAUUAGCCAAGUCACAAAACCAAUCAUAAGAGAUUCAUUGCGGUUGUCACCAAGUCUUGAAUUGGUGGGAUGGUUAUUCCCAUGGCAAGAGCGGCUAACAUCACAAACUUCAUCCUCUAGGGAUUAAGUUAAAAUAUACCUUUGGCACUUAAAAUGUUCUAUACUCCAUAAUAAAUAUGUUACUUAUUUUAUCAAUUAAUCUACCCUCAAUAAUAUGCUAAUAUUGGUUUAGAUAAUUUGUCGAUUUGGCUAUAACUUGGAAUAAGAGACAAUAACAAUAUAAAUCUAAUAUUGAAAAAAAAUUGUUUGAUUUUUUUUUUCACUUAUUAGUUAUUCUUUUAGCAAUUACCGAAUAACAUCAUUCAAACUGCAUAAUGCCAAAUCUAUUUUUUUUCCAAUUACAUUAUGCCAUAAAUGUGCGAAUCAACAUACAUGAUUUCACCUCAAACAAAUGGACUUUUUUUAUGAAUAAAUUUAAAAAAAAACGAUAGAAAAAUAGCUCAUAUUAGGGCCAUUUACCAGGUAAUGCAAAUUAAAACCAAGUCUUAUUUAUGUGUAUUAAAAAUUUCCAAUACCAUAUCAUAUCAUUUACACAAAAAAUGCAUAGAAUAUAAUUCGGAGAAGAAGGAAGAUAAGAGAAACUUAAACAAAAGAGCAUUUCUAUCUGUCCUAAGAUAGAAAGUAAACAUCAAAUUUAGAUAAUCUUACUUUAAAUACUUAUGUAGCAAGGACAUUCAUAAAAAUUAGAACAUAAUGUAAGCCUAAACAAUAAUAUAACGAUUGAUUUAUAUAAAGUGUCAAUAUAACAUUAUGCAAAAAAUUUAUACAUGUAAUAUGGGUUCAUAUCAAUAAAUGGAAUUGGAAGUAAAUUUCUGAAUCUAUGCAACCCAUGGGUCUUUGUUUACUACACAUUCUACAAAAAUAUGCAGUCAUAAGUUACAAUUUGAUGGAAUCACCUACCAAUUCUACUCACAUCAUAGGAAAUGUUUUCUAGCAGCUGGAUGGCUUGGAAUAUUUUGGGGCCAGAGAUGGACACAUUUCAUUCAUAUGAGGGUACAGGUCCACUGUAUUGUAUCCUGGCAGCUCCAUUCGAUACCAACCUCGUAUUUGAUAGAACAGAAGCUCGACGUCGUCCCCAUCAUCGCACCACUUAGGCAAGCCGCUUGAAUGAUCCUCGAAGCACCUUAGUGAGUAAGCAUCUUUUAUCUGCAUAAAAGACAAUGCUAUUCACAAAAUGCCAGAUGGGAUGCCUCAUGACAGAAAGUCACGCUUUUAAAGGCAAACUAGAUUAUAGUUUUCUCAAUCUUUGAAGAAAGUGACAUCCAUCUCUAGAUAGUAAAUUCAAGCAAUUAGGGUAAAAAAGAUAACCCAACUAGGGUCAAUCAGAUCGCACUUACAGUGAACUCUGUAACAUGAAUGGAGCUAGAAAUUGGAUCAAAGAGUCCUGCUGCUUUGUACAUUUCAAGAACAAAAGCUACACAAGAGGCGGACUUCCCGUCACUGUAUACCCAAUGGUCUUGCUCUGGAGUGUAAGCAGUUCAGCAAAAGAUGACCCCCUCAUUUCAGUUUCGUGUAUUAGAUUAGGAAGAUCCAAGCCCUGUAUGCAACACAAUCGUAAGGUAGCCAUAAAGUAAAGUAAGUGUAAUUACAACCAUAUAACAUUUGUUAACAGAAUGUCAUUCAAGAGACAUUAGAUUUCAGUUGCACCUCAGUGUGCAAAACAAGAUGCAUAACGUCACACAGACAAUUGCAAAUUGAAUGGGACGGUACCUUUGUUCCUAGUCACUUGUUGAGUGCUUCAUUCCAUAUGUUCGCAGCAUAGGCUGGUUGCACUUGGUUCCAUAGUCAUAACAGAAGCAACCUACAAUAAUACAAUGCUUUCUAUAAAAUGAGUGAACGGCACUCCCAUCACGCGAAUAAAGCACCCCACAUGGUGAGCAUAUUACAUGCAUCGUCAGUCAGGCUGAUAGCAACUCUUAAGAAAAAAUGAACAAAGUCUACUAUUUUGCUGUCUUAGUAUCAUAUAGGAGGCCAUAAAAAAUGAAUAAUUGUCAAACUAAGCCAGGUUCUUUUCCAUAACGUUAGCACUCAAUAGAGUCACAUGCGAACCUGCUAUUUGGCAAAAUCACUGUUCAUUUUUUAGCCUUUUGUUUUGUUCAGUUGAAUUCAUUCGAAAUCAUGGCAUGAUUGUCUAAUUUCAACUAGAACGUGUUGUUAGGAUCUAACACACGGCUUAAUAAUAUUUCAAGGUCUAUCAAAGUAAGAGUAAAUUGCUGUUUAGCAGUCAUGUUGAGAAGCAGAAACUAUUUCGUAUCCAGCAUCUAAGAAUCUCAAGGCAUCUACAGAUAUACCUUGGAAGUAACACAAGGCCUUAGUGCUAGAAAAUCGUCUAAGGCAACUGAAUGCACCCACAAAAUAUAUAUAAACAUAUAUGCACGUGUACAAUCUCUGUACCACAUGAGCAUCUAAUGGCGCCGGAUAAUUUGCGCCGAUGGUGUCUAUCCAGCUAAAAAGCAUGUUGUGAUAACCAUAUGGUUUCCCAUUCAUAAUCUGUGCAAACUCCCAUGCAGCAGCUCAUUAAAUUUGGCUCACAUAUCAGGAUGCAGUGGAAGCAACGCAAUGUGGGGAUUUGAGUAAUCUUUGUUAAGCUUGAACUCCCACCAUUUUCCCAUGGUAACACAGCAAUGACAUCUUCUCCCUGCAAUGAUAAGAACAAAACAAAACUUGCAUAAUCUCUAUUACUAUGUUAGACUUCUGUAGCACCUGACCCCUUUACCAACACAAAGGAACAAAGCAUGUAGCAAAAACCCAAAUGUGACCAUAAAUUAAUCAAGGUCUGCCUCAAGUAAAGGACGUCAUUUCAUCAAAUUCUAACCAUAAUCAUCAUCAGUAAGUUAUCGUCUCGUGUGUAAGGAUGGUCCUGAAGUUCAGUAGAAAAAGUUCAGACACUGCAUUCCCUAUGUUACAAAUAUGAUGAUGCUCCAAUAGAGCUUCUAGUAGAAGCCUAAAUAGGAUCAGCUGCAGUUCAACAUGAACCUGAAGCAGCAUGUCAUCGUUUACUUACUCAUCCUCUCUUACAAUCAAAAGUUUCUAUGGGAGCACAAAAAGGAAAGACCUAUCUUAUUAGAGAACAUAAGAUGAGCAAGGAGAUUUAAGGACAUAGGGGCGUGACUAAAGCACGCUUAAUAUGCAAAAUGGAACAAUCUCAAUGGGAACCAUAUUUGUGAGAGAAGAAGUCCAUGAUUCGACAAAAGUCACAUUUAUAAAGUAAUCACACAGAAAUACAAUGCCCCAAAAACCUAAGGGUUCAUGAAAUGUUAGAGAAACACAGCAGAAACCCUACUUGUCCUUUUCAAUAUGUAUGAGACCACACUUUGAUAAUCAGAGGACAUUAAAGCAGUAUUGUAUGAGAGUCUUUAAUGAUGAAUGACAGAUAAGCAUAGUGAAUUUUUUUUUCUUUUUUUUGGUCGGUAAGCACAGGGAAUUAAAGAGAUGGAGAAAUAAUGACUCAAACAAUUCUGGGGGUGUUUGAAACAUUUGAACGUUUGUCUGUUGGAUAUCCCCAUAUAGGAACAAGGUGGACAGUUAUUGUGGAAGACUGGCAUACUUACAGCCAUGUUAAUAUUGUGUCUAUGCAAUUGGUUUAAAACUUUACUUCACAAUUACAAUUGCAGAGACAGCAGCAGGCAAAAAGAUUGGAUGAAAUGUCGAACAUCAAAAGUAAUCCGUCAAUGUAUGGAAAAAAAAGAACAAGGAAUAGAAAAAAAUGCUUAAAAACAAUCGCAAGGUAAUCCUUUUCCUCAAAAGGCUUUUUCUCCACUAGUAUAUAUAAAAAUUAGGCCUUCAAACUGAAAAAGAAAUACACUUACAUGCAUAACCACCCUAUAUCUGUUUCCGAAUUACCUGUUCAUUAUCAUGUCCGGAUUCACCAACCCAAAGCUUUCCUUCAGCAUCCCUUAAGCACACAGCUGUGUGACCAGCGUAUGCGCCACUGACCCAUUUCUCUAGAGUCCCAAAACCACCCCCACUUUCCACGAAUUUUUGAAAUUGCAAUGAAGUCUCCAGAGUGGAUAUCAUCAAUGCUGAUGUUUGUAACCAAGGGCUGGGGACGUUGCUCAAAUGAAGCUCCCAUAUGCUUCUUGAGAAAACCAAUGUUAGAUUUCUCCCCUCACCCGGUAUUUGAAAACAAGGAAACACAUCCCACAGUGCUUGAAGGGUCCCUAGCAUCCCAGCUUGCAUCAGAAAGAUUGACACUCCUCUACUUUUCACCUGCAAUCAAAAUAAUGGAAAAUCAAAGUUUGACAACUCGCCAAUAUGCACAAGCAAGAGCAGAAGAGAAAAAAGAUAAUUGCAGCUUACAUAUUCAAACUCAGCUUUUCCUUCCCACUCUUUGAACUCAAAUGUGUGCUCACGAGAUAAAAGAUACUAGUCCCAUGUCACGCAGUAUGGGGUUGCAAAGACAUAAAUAUCCAUACAUGUCCAGCUAUGGGCUUUGCUGACCUGGAUGAGCAAUCCAAACUCAUGGUUACAAGCCGGAUACCUACAACUAGCUGUUAGUUUCCAUAUUCAGCAGAACUAGAUGCAAAAACAAGGACUAUGAAACAUCAACACGAGGCAGUACCCACCCAAACUGGAAUAGCCUCCAUAAGAUAAUUUGAUUUUACAUCAAACGAAACAAUUGUACUUGUAUGAGCAACCAAAUCACUAAAUCCUUCUUCAACCACUUAAAACCUAGACACAAAAGACUCAAGUGACCAACCAUGGUACCAAUUCGUGGAGCUUAAUCAAAGCACAAACAAGCAGAUGAAAGGAGAAGGAAAGAAAAAAACUUAGCUAGUGACGAAAUCCACUAGAAACAUAUUGAGGUAAGAACUGAAAAAUUCCAUCACUCAGAUUCCAACAUAAAUAACCAGAAUGAGAAAAGAGGAACAGUUGGGAUCAAGUGCAUGGCCCAAACAUCGAGGAUAUUCUCUAACGUCCUUUAAAUAAGUGAUUUUCUUUCACAACUCUAUAGAUAAGUAUGACCGCACACUUCAGUUGGUAAGAAAAAUACCGUAAGUAGAUAGAAACUCUAUCCAGUUCAGAGCUUUGAAUCCAUUAGAAAAAAUCGACCUCAAAUUAACUAAAAUAGAAAGCUCAAACUAAGUUAAUCGGAAAUUGGGAAAAGCUGCCAAACGAUGGCCAUUAGACCCCAUCAAACAAACUCCUACAGCCUCACAUCUCCUAGAAUUAUCACACAAUCGAACUGCAGUGAAUUGAAUUAAGCACUAACAUUCGACCAGAGAACCUUAAAAGCUCGUGAACAGUGACUGUCUCUCCACAUUACCAAGCCGCCACAAGCUCAAACAUCCCAAAAUCUUCCAGAAUCGCACUCAAACACAAGUAUUUCCAUUCCAUUCCGUUCCCCACUAUUCACCAAACAAAAAAGAAGACUUGGAAUCAUCACUCCAGUCCAUUCCUUUCCCCAUCAUUUCCCGAUUUCAUUCCAUUCCACCGUACCAAACCCGACGUAAUAGUCAACCAGAAAACCUCAUCUUCCAAAAUGGCACUCAAAACCAAAAGGAGACCAAGCAAAAGCGACGCGAUAAAACUAAAGAACGGACCUUGAUGUGAGGCGUGCCUCCGCCGAACUUGCUCCCGGUGUUGUUGUGGAACUCCCACCAAGCGGUCGGAGGAAAAAACGGCGCCGAGGAAGGCGGGCAACAGGUGCAGGGGACGGCGAAGGGCGUUGAGGAUGGGCCAGGACAGCUGCUUCGGCAAUAGAGGGAGUAUGUUCUCCAUGGUGGAACGGUGGUUUCGCGGCUCGAGAGCGCGGGUUGAGCAGAGAGGAGAACGUGAAGAGGAAGAGAAGUAGCAGAAAUUGGCUGACGAGAAGCCAUGGAAACUGGGGGGGGAGAGAGAGAGUCAUCUCUCCAGCGACGGUCCACUUCUUUAAGUGUCUCACACUGUAAAAGGUGUAGGGGCAAGAGGAGCCACUCGUUUUGAUUAUAUCCUUGGACGCUUGGUAAUUUAGGGUGCUUAACCAGUUAAAUGAAACAUUAAAGCAUCAUUGGGGCUGAAAAUAUUAUGUAUUCUUAUAUUAUGUAUUAAUGUUGGCAAAAAUCUUAAAUUAUAUCCAUCCUGACAUUAAUGUCUCGAAUUAGUAUUGAUUUCGUGGCAAACAAAAGUUUAAGAUUUUUAGAGACGAGAGGUAUUUCCACUUCAAAUAUAAGUUUAAGUGUAGAGAUGAGCAAUUAGAAGUCUCCACAAAAGAUGUAACCCUAUGGGAAGAUAUAUUGCCUUCCCACUCUCUUAUAGCUUGCCGUUAAACUGCGGCCAUUGAUAGCGUCAAAUCGGCUUAUAUUGCCUACCCCCACCCUCUUAUAUUGUUGCAACAACUUUAGCUACACCACCUUUUCAGGACUUGGUUAACAUCAAGAGUAUUCUAUAAAUGGUGUAUAUUUUCAUUUUGUAUGAAGCUAUAUGCAUGUUGUUAGUACGAAUUUGACGUUUAGCACGUUUUCACAGUAAUCAUGCAAUCUCCCUUAUUGUUAUAUUGUGUCUUGAGUUUGAGUAGAGGUGUCAAAAUGAGUUAUUGACCCAUUUAUGGACUCAUUUAAACAUAAAUGGGUUGUUAAUGGGUCAAGCCUAUUUCCUAAAGUACCCAUAAUGAGUUUUAAUGGGUUAAGACUGAGAUAUAUGAAUCUUAAAUGGGUCAAAGAACUUGCCCAUUUAAGACCCAUUUAUCAACCCACUAAAAAUAAACUCAUUUAUUUUAAGCCAAAACCUCACAAUCUCUCUCUUCUCUCUUUAACUUUACAAAAUAUUUAAAAAAAAAACCAAAAUUAUAAUUAUUUUUUUAUUUUUCUUUUCUUUUCUUUUCUUUUUUUCUUUUUUCUGUUUUCUUUCUUCUUCCUCUGGUCGUCGGCACUGCGAUGGCCGGCGACCGGCCAGGUGAGCCUUGGGCUCGCUAGAUCUGGCGAGGCGGAGGCCUCGCCGACGUCCAGCGAGACUCGAGCCUCACUAGAUCAGGUGAGGGGGCGAGCUUGAGGCUCGCCGGCGUCCGGCGAGGGGCGAGCUCAAGCUGGCUUGAUGUUGGCGAGCCUCGAGCUCGUCGGAUCUGGCGAGGCGGAGGCCUCAUCGACGUCUGACGAGGCUCGGGCCUCACCAAUCUGGCAAGACUUGGGCUCACCAGCGUCGGGCGAGCUCGAGCUCCCUGGAUUUGGCGAGCCUCAAGCUCGUCAAUGUUGGCAAGUUGGGCGAGCUCCAGGUCGCCUGUGGCUUGCCGCUGACCAUCAUUGUGGCCAGCAGCCGACCAAAGAAGAAGAAGAACAAAAAAGAAAAAAGAAAAUUAUAUUUAAAAAUAAAAAUAAAAAUAAUUAAAAAAUUAAUUUAAAAAAAAAAUUAAUAUUCGAUUUUUUAAAAUAUAUAUUUUUAAAAUUAUAAAAAAUGUCCAUUAAAUUUGCGUUGUAUAAAACCAUUUUAGCAAUACCAUUUUAUAUAUAUAAUAAGUUUUCUUAAAUUUAAUUAAAUGGGUCGGGUAUGGAUCGAAAAUUUUGUAUUGCAAUAAACGGGUUAAAUGGAUCGAUUUAGGUCGGAUCAUUUAUGACCUGAUCCAAACCCGACCCGAUCCACCCGUUUAACAGGUAUAAGUUUGAGCCCAUGUAUGGGCCCACAACUGAAGAAUCUAUUGCUCAAAGUCACGCACAAAAUGCAGUGUUCUUUUAUUAAUUAAUGCGCACGCAAGUCUUGGACUUUUUUCUCCACUUCAUUAAUGCAAUGCAUGCACGAAUCUCCUCCUGUGUCCCUUUAUCAUUUUUCUCAUUUUUGGUUCGAAUUCCCUUUUGUCAUUGAAGGAGCUGAACGUCCAUUUGUCGCCUUCACUCCAGAGCGCCCCCUCUUUCGGACUCCCCCUGGACCAGCGAAAUGGGAAAAUUCGGCGCCAAAGUCAACGUUGGAAACGCCGGCGACGGCGACGUUCUUGAGGCCUAGCCUCAAGAUUCGAGUGGAAUUGAGAGGGUGCUUCCAUUCCAGACAGCGGUGGAGAGCCGUGACGCUCACGGAGUGAUCGAGACCCAGAGAUUGGAUCCAAGCGCAGAGGCACGCGAGUCUUUUUCGCCAUUUUCAUGGAAUAGGGGUGGACGUUGGUGAUCUGGUUGGGGAAAGGAUGGAGCGUGAGGAGGAUGGUCAGGGACGCAUAUAGGAACGGACUCGACUUAGGGUUCAGGAACGGGUUUACAAAUCGGAUUGAGGUUGCGAAAUGGACCUACAUCUUUCUAGGAUGGAGAAGUUUUUUUCAGAAAUUGUCAGACGAUUUCAGGAAUUUGAAAGAAAUGAGGAGGGGCUAGAGCACAGGGGGAAUUUUAAUUUAUUUUGGCCAAACGUUCGAGCAAUAGUUUCGAAUCACUAAGGAGUAUAUAUAAAUUUCAGUACGGUGACCUCUUUGGUUCAGAUUGGAAAAGUAGUGUGCGGUGGCCAAUGGAUAAUGAUCUCGCUGCCCUCUAGCGAUAUGCAAGGGCCUGGCAGUGCAAUAUUGUGGGCUUAGUAGGGCUUAUUUGCUGGAUAUGCAUCGAUUUCUGCCAAAUAUAUGGCAACAACCGAGUGGCAGAGGUUGUUCUCAUGGGGACCACCAGGGCCAUGGUCGCCGUCCCCUGGGAUGAUUAAUUUAAACAAUUUGUUGAAUUGCUUAAUUCGACAAUUUCGUAUUCGAUAGUGUUGACUCCGUAACUUGCUUUCUCUGAUGAUAAAUGACCAAUAUCAUGCGUUUAGACCACAGUAAGCAUCGGCUCAGAGUCAGCGGUAACAAGUCAAUGAUUGACGCCCUUGAAAGACUUCUAUCCUUCCAAAGUCUAUUUUGACUUAGGCAAUUCCAUUUGUUUCUUCACAUACAUGUUCAAAUUUUUGAGUCAGACUUUCUCAUGUGCUGAUGACUUAAUUACUGCAUGGUUAUAUUAUUAAACUAAAUAAUUUGAUAGAUUAUGAUUGAUCUUAUUAAGCCAACCGCAUUUGAUAUUUUCACGUUAUUUGGCAUACAAAAUGUCGAUAUAAAUAGUGUAAUUCCGGGGGCCGAAGUUGUAAUUGGCUCAAAGGCGAACACGUCUUCAUGAGUAACACCGUCAAACUCCUUUUGAGAUUCUUGGAAUGUCUCCUACUUAGAUAACUCGAUCAGUUUCCUCUUUUUUCUAAUAGUAUAAUUUCCCUUUAUUAAUUUCCUCUAUUUAGAUCUAGUGUAUUUCUCUACUAGUACUUCAGCUCCAGGUGAAAUAAGGGGAUUAAAUUUAUCUGGUCGAUUAACUAUCAACAUCAAUUAAGAUUUAAUUUCUUUCUAUCUCUUUUCGUAAAUAUUUAUACACGAAAUUCUUAUUGUGUAUUUUUAUCAAUAAAUUAUUUUCAUUAUUUAAUAAUUCAUAUAUUUUACCCAAAAAAAUGAUUUAAAUUAAUUUUUUAAAUACCAAUUGUUCCCACACNNNNNNNNNNNNNNNNNNNNNNNNNNNNNNNNNNNNNNNNNNNNNNNNNNNNNNNNNNNNNNNNNNNNNNNNNNNNNNNNNNNNNNNNNNNNNNNNNNNNUUCUCUAGAAUAAAUAAGUUUCUUAAGAAGGUAUUUCACAAUUUCCAAGUUGUCUUUGAAUUAAUCGAGUCUUUCUUAAAUAUCAAUCUACAUAUUGGCUUUCUAAUUGUUGAAUGGGUUUAGUACCCAUGGAUAAUAAGUAAUGCUACAAAGACCUUAGAAGACAAAAAGGAUUUUCACCCUAUAUGAUGUCAUGUGUUCUCAUUGCCCUAAGAACAUAUGUUAGCUUGUCAUACUAUCUAAUGGGCUAGGAUGCAAAAGUCACAAUAUAGCCGUAUGUAGUAUGGCCAUUAAAAAUGCAGAAUAAACAUGGUUUCUUUUUAUUAUUAUUAUUUUUUUUACGAAUAAAGUGAUUCAUUUAUUCAAAACCAUAUUGGAAAUAUAUGACAUGAAUGAUAUAAAAUGUAACAGAAAAAGAAAUUUCUUGAAAUUUUGCAAAGUCGGAGGUGCCGCUCAAAUCGAGAAGUGCGGGUGGUCCCAGCAAAGUGACGUUAAUGUACAAGAAACAAAAGGUAGGAAAAGUAAUAAGAGCAACGUGCAGAAACGACGACGGCUUGGCGUGGAACGAGCAUGGCUUUAAGCAAACACAGAAACAGCACAUCUCGCGAUAUUUUGAUGUCGCGUAUUCUUCCUCUUCUUCUUCUUUUUCUAAACUGAUAAGGCUGCUCCGGAGCCUCUCUUCAUUUUCGUUUUUUUGUUUGUUUUUUCCUCCUCAUUUUUCCAACCACAUCCUCACCAUAACGCGCCUUCUCUCUUUUGUCCCCUAGCUCUCCCACUUUCUUUCGCCCGACUCUCUCUUCUUGUCUUGCUUUCUUUUUUUGGUUCCCGCCCAAACCCUUAAUGAAAGAUUAAUUGCUGUUUAGUAUUCCAAAGUCUAGCAUUAUCGGGCCCCAUCAUCGACCUAUCAAGUUCGUUAAACUCAGUCAUCAAUGGACUGACUAUUUUGUUGAACACGAGCUGCACCACCAUGGCAAGAAAAAGAAAAGUAAAAACUUAGGCAAGGGCUCAUUGAUUUCUAACACUUGAUCAUAAAAAUUUUUGAAAAGAAAUUUUAAUAUCACUGCUUUGAGGAUGGAUGCACUCUCAACAAGUGAACCCGAGUGAUCGAAUUCAAUAAUACGACAGAAUCAUCUCAAAGAUUUAAGUUUAAUAGUUAUUUUAUACGGCGAUUAUGAUAGGAACAUGAUAAUUUCGAGCGCCUGCAAUGUGAUGUCUUGAUGUAUCAUAGGAAUGUUAAUUAGAUAUGCAAACAGUAAAGAGGCAACGGCAUACCGGCAAUGACUUGGGUAGUAACAACGCAUCUAUGAGGCCUAUCCCUUAUUCGAUUUUUUUUUAUUUCUAUUUGUUUUUGUUCAUGUUUUUUUUCUCGAACCGCUCUAAUAUGAAUUAAAUAGUAGACAUCUUAAUAUAAAUUCAACAAUAGAAUUCUCCAUUUCAUUUUUGAAUUUGAAUGAGACUUUUUCUCUAAUUUUUUUACUAAUUCAUUUAGAUUACAUUUUAUAGUAUCACUAAAAUUUUAUUAUGUAAUUUAACUUAUUGUUAUAUCAUCCAUAUAAAAAUCAAAAUAUAAUCUAACUAAAUACAAUAAAUAAAAUCAAACAAAAUCGAAAUGCUCAUUAGAGCAUGGGAUAAUCAUAUUAUCGACAUUGUAGAAAACAGAAAUUCUAAUAAUUUUUAACUACUAACUAAAAUAUGUAAUGUGUUUGUAGGUAGUAUCUCAUUCUGUUUUCUUCUCACCCACUAGCUCUAUGCGCAAUUAUUGAGCCGUGACCAUGUGAAUGCUAGACUAAAGCCUCCCCUCAGCCGGGUUUUUUCCUGCUUUUUAUGUCCUUACCUUUUUCACUAAAUCUUUGCUGAAGAUAUGGUCCAUUAUGAGGAGGUGCUAGUUUUUUUCUAUGUUGUGUCCACUUCUGACCGGAGAGGACUUACUAUUCGGAGAGCGGGCUGCGUCCAAAACUUUCACAAGAAUUGCCAUUUAACUUCACCGCGGAAAAUUUAGGGUCAGGUCGUGUAGGGUUAGUUCAUAAAAAUUCACAAUCAGGGCCGCAAUGUUAAAUGUGAAAUAAUGCAAUGGAGAGAGAGAGAUUGUGGGAUUAUGAAUGUACUUUUAUUAGGGGUCAAAUUAUCGAUGAAUCUGAUCGUUAAAUUUCAUGAAAAUGGGAAUUGGACCUUUAAAUGAAAAUUUAUGUAUCGACAAUAAUUAAUCUUACAUAUUAGUAAGUAAUUGUUUCUCUUUAAAUCAUCCCUUAGUUGAUUUUUUUUUUCUUUUUGGUCUAAAGAUCUAGACUGCAUACAAAAUUGGUCUUGUGAAUUCAUUAGUACAGGUAAUAUUCUAAAUUUGAGUCAAGAUUUAUGCAAAGUAAAUAAGCAACACUACUCACGAAGAUUUUCCUAUUGAUUUCUAGAGGCAAAAAAGAGCAAUGCUAUGCAUAGGAGAACUGGACAUAUAUAUAUAUUAAGAUGGAUAGAAAAUGAUAAGGAAAAUAGUGCGGUAGCUCUCUUAAGAAAAUUUUGUUUUUAAUUUUUUAUUUUCCUUGGAAAGUCUAGAGAAUUUGGCAAUUAAGUAAACCAUAGUUUAACAUUCCAUAAUAAUUUUCCACCUCAUUCGGUGCACUAAUUUUUUGAUAUAUUUACAUAUUUAGCACCAUUUCGGGCAAGACAAAGAAAGAUAAGUAGGCUCAAAAGUUUAUCGGGUGCACGUUCGCAUGAGUUUCCUCGUGGUUAAAGCUGAAAUUGGCUCAAAGGCGAACGCGUGUUCUUGAGUAACACUGUCCCACUCCCUUUGAUGACGAUGACAUCAGAGACAAUUACCCGACACUAUUGAAAAGAGAGAGAGAGAGAGAGAGAGGGGGGGAAGAGGUCUUAUCGUGGCUUCCAAAAGAGGCCACUUGAAAUCUCUUAAAAAAAGUGAAAGUUAUGCGAGGUGGAGUGACAUCCAUAUAAAUAGACAAAUUGCUCAUUAUUUUGUUAAUAGAUUAUUGUCUAGAAAUGAAAAAGAAAAAAAAGAUGUAAAUAGUGAAGCAAUGAGGCAGCAAUAAAAUAGGAAACUUGUCAACCCCCCAUCCAUUAUAUUAAAUUAAAAUAUUAUUAAGUCCAUUGUCGGUCUAGAAAAUAAUUUGCACAUUCCCGAUUAAGAGUUGACACGUGGAAUAAUUGACUGGCAAAAACAACUUCAAACCCACACGUCACUUAUUCACGGUAAAUGUGUAUUGAGGUUUUAACAUCGACUAUGCUUCCAACAAUAUCCAUUCAAUUACUAGGUUUUUCGGCUAACAAUGUUUCUAUAUUUAGUUUAAUAUAUUCAAAUAAUAAGACCAAACAGAUAAUAUAUUCGAAUGUUCAAAAUUUUUACCCAUGGGGGUUAAUUAGGAAUGCCAACUAUUUAAUAAAACAUUGAAAAUAUUAUUAUUUCGUAGUAUCUAGAGAAUGAAAAUAAAUAAAAAAAGUCAAAGUCAUGCGAGGGUAGAGUAAAAGCAAUCAAAUCAUUAAAGAGAGAAAAAAUCAUUUUUAUUUAUUAAAGUAAUAGGUUAUAGUGUAGAAUGAAAACAAAAAAAAAAAUAUUCAAAACAAAAAGAAGAGUAAAAGCAUGCGACGACACCUAUCUAAUGUGCCAUUGCUCCAGGAGGCCUCCACGUAGCACCCGAGUUGUCUAUUCCACCGUCCAUCUCGCCGACACGACGGACGGGAAAAAAACCCACGCCGGACCCCCCCACCCCCGAAACGGCACAUGUUGGUGUCAGCGGGAGCGUCGGACCGGGCCCCGCCCCGGUUCACGAGGAUCGCCACCGAUGAUGUGGACAUGUCGAGAAGUGGGGCAGGGUCAAAGCAACGGACGGCUUGGAUUCAGCGGGGGCUUGGUCGUUCGGCUUGUCGUACGCCUUUUCAUGUGAUCACGUGAAUUGGGCGUACUACGGUGAGGGGGAACAAGGGGAGAGGGUGGGGCCCGUUGGGCCGGGGAAUGUAGUUAGGCCAUGAUGAUGGACGGCUGGAUGGACGGAUGAGUAUUUGGUUGAUGAAAAGGAGGAAGCGCCAUAAAUCGGUGAUUUCUCGGGGUCCUGAUUCCACGCAAUUGACAGUGUGAAUGUGAAAAUUGAUCCACAACGAACACAAUCAACGCCCCCUGACCCAGCAUCUAGUGGGGAGAAGGUUGUCAUUGAUGAUUAGGCCUUGUAAAUUGGUAUUUUCAUGGUUUGAAUAUAUUUGAUAAAUUUACCUAUACAAAAGUGCUACAAUAGCCGAAGGGGAGGCCAACCGUAGUCCAACCGUAGUCCAACAGAGAUCCAUAUUAGUUUGACGUGAUAUUGCUAUGGUUGUUAUAUUUGUUGUCCGACGAUGAUAUAACGUGAAAUUAUGUUUACGAUUACGCACUUCUGUAUUGAGCCGUGAUUUCCGUGCUUUUUCUGGCGGUAAAAUAUAACAUAUCUGAGACUUUCGACAGUGUAGUUGAUUAGAAUUCAAGACUUUGACCAAGUCCAAGUCUCUCCCUUUCUUCACCAAAACCGGUUCAUUCCCAUUUCCAACAGCAGGCGAAUGCCCUUGUUUCUGUAGGAAUUGGGUUACUGCCUUCAACCAGAGGAAGAGUCUUUGCUCGAUCCCUGGAUGCUGACUGGUGCUUCAGAUUCUCAAGAGCAGUUUCUUAGCUCUACUUCUUGAUGUGCAUCUUUGCCACUUGCAUGCAUCCGAAUCUUCUUUUUCAGUCCUAACUGGUAUGUUGCUUCGUCCUCAUUCCGUCUAUAAGAAUCAAAUAAAGACUCUCCAACUGAACAUCCUUAUUUAACUGGAUCAACAAGUAGAUCUGACGGAUUCUAUACGAAAUGAAGGGUUAAAUGACCUGAAUGGAGGUGGGUGGACGUAACUGCGAGAUGCAAUAAACUUCUCGGAGAGAGACCAAGAAACAGAGAGAGAGAAGGGGCGAGAAGAGAGGGGGGAAGAGCGACAACGGUGGAUUGCAGGCCGUCAAAAGGGUCGAGCUACGCCAUAACUCGCCAUUUCCGAAUACUAGAAAAGAUUUUUUUUAGCUCUAUUUCUCAUGAAUUUGGGUUUUUUGUUUUGAAAGUUCCUUUCCGGAUCUACUUUGGAUUUGCUUUGCCGGCAACGAUUCGGUCAAAAUCCAACGAUAUUCUGAUUCCUCACAUCUCCUUGUAAUUCUAGAAUUAAUUUUUUUCGAGUUGAUAUCCAAGUUGUCUUUGAGUUGAUCGUCUGGGUCUGUUUAAUAUUAAUUUGCAGUUUGGCCUUCCCGCUUGAAUACUCGUGGAUGUUAUUACUUGCUUGAGAAUAAUGCUAUGCGCGCUAGGAAAAUAUAAACAAGAUUGGUACUUCAUAUAAAUGGGUGCGCUCUCUUUGCCCACAGGUUGAUAAUCAAGACGACACAUGCCACGAGUUGAAGAUACAGCCUGGGAAAUUCGUGAUUAGACUGGAGGCAAGAAAUGGCGUUGUCCUUACUGCAGAUGAUACUCUGGAUCAGUGCACAAGAGUGAAAAGUCACUUUCUUAAACAACCAAAAGAAGGGAUUGCCUCUUGCGCAAAAGUGCCGGAUCACAUCAGCACACUAAUGGGAUUGAUACACAAUCAGGUGGCUUUAGUACUUGUGGUAGCUACAUUAUCUGCUCGAGAAUGAUGCUAUUCACUCUAAGAAGAUAUAAAAAAAUUGGAGACAAUAUAUAAUGGGGUGCACUCUUUUUGCUUGCAGGUUCGUAACAAAGAGGAUGUAGCCUGGAAAUUCGUCGAGAGACUGGGGGAUAACAAGUGGCGUUGUCAUCACUGCACGGAAGAAUUCUCUGGAGACCUUACAGGUGUAAAAGGUCACUUGCUUACAGUCCCAAAUGAAGGGAUUUCCGUUUGCACAGGAGUGCCGGACCACAUAAGAACGCUAAUGCGGUCGUUACUUGAUGCGGUGGCUGAAGAAGAGAGCAGAGGAGCCAACAGUCAAUCCUCCAUGGAGCCACAAUCACGUCACAUGCCGACUCAACUGUCGCCUUCAUUUUCACCAGAAAGCCUCGAAUUCUUGAGACCGUUAUUACCAACACCACGGAGGGCGACCAAAAUGGCAAACUUCACCCAACAGGAUGUCAUUGGGUCAAACUCUGACCAACAAUCACAAGCGGAGCGUCAGCUUCGUCAGAGUUCAGCAAUGCCAUUAUUGGUGCAAAGUAGUCAUGGUAUGUCCACGUGAAGUUUCUUUACAUUCAUCUAGGCGUGAAGAAAAAAAAUCUAUUACAUUUUUUAUAUAAUUAACUCUAUCUAAAAUGACUCAAACUUAUCUAUUUCCACAUCGCAUCAAUUCUAAAUUACAGAGGUAUCAUUGCAUUUUCUAUAUGUCCGAUAUCACUAUAUUUUUACAGCACAGUUUAUUUCAUUUAAAUAUUUAACUUACGAGCAUGCUGAUUUUCGUUGUAGAAAUCUCUCUCUGUGAUCAAGUUCUAGAUGUUUGUUUUAUCUGUACCCAUGACUUGAUUUGAAAGUCCCAGUGUUGACUGAUCUUACGCUUGAAUAUUUUAGUGCAACCAGCUUUGGUGUCCCCUCAACAUCAAAGUGUUCUGCGUCAAUCUAUUAAUCAUGAGAUGAGGGAUACACAGCAGAAUCCAACCAUUCCUCUGGAUAAUCUAGAUACCACCCGGCAACCUGAUCUUCGUGACUCUCCACCAGAGAAUCUUGUUGAAUCUCGUGAUGUAAUUGUAAACGCUCUUGACGAAAUGCAAACGAAUGAACAGCAUAAUCCAACAGUGGGAUCAUCAUUACAAAAUGAUUUAUCCCUUGAUGUGGACCAUACAAAUCGUUUACUGGAUUGGAGUCAACCGUGUGCAGUGGAAGGCGUUCCUCUAUUCAGCAAUACAAGUCCGACCAACGCUGUUGAGCAUCCCGAUCAGCUUUACCCUAGGUGUGAUGAGGAAGAUGGAAAUGAUACCCGUUUGUUCCCCUCGCAAACUCCAAUGGACAUAGAUCCCUCAAUUGCCUCACCGCAUUCAAGUGACUCUCAUGAUAAUUUGCAAGUUCUAGAAGCAGCAACAAAUGCAAUAGCCCCAUCAUCAUCACAAGGUAUGUCUGGAUUAAUCUAAAUUGUUCCUCUUGUUCUGUUGGAUUCUUAAAUAUCCCAGAUUAAUUUAUCGAAAUCUAACAUAUGUUUUUAUACAUUAGAUUUGAACAGGGGUUAUCCAAUCAUGACCGCAUGGAGCAUCAAUGCCAAUGAUGAAGAGAUAAGAAAGCUCAAAAGAAAAGUGGAAGAACUUGACGACAAAGAAGCUGACGUAAAGGAGCAGAUGGAGAUAGAGUCUUCUUCCUCAGUUCGGAAGAAGCCGAGGAAAACAGUUGAGAAAUGGCUGGAAAAAACAGAAAGAGCAAGAAAUAAUUUCCAAAUAAUUGGCCAAGCCAAUGGGGAAACUUUGCCUCCGAAGGAACAGGUGGUGACAUUGACGAGAGAAGUGGAAGAGCUCAUAAAACAAGCGCUUCCACAAACACUACUCAUAGAGGAGAGAGAUGCCAAAGGAGUCAAAUUUUUGGAACGAAAGCUAAUAGGUGAAGCGAUUCAUGGGAACAUCGAGUUUAUUUGGGGCCAUCUGAAGAAGAAUCGUGCAUGCAAAUUGGGUAUUUAUGGAAUGGGUGGUGUGGGGAAGACAACUAUCAUGAAGCGAGUACAUGAUAGACUUCUAGAAGAUGCAACCUUUGAUGGUGUGGUUUUUGUCACCGUGUCCAAAGAUUUCAGCAUUUCUAAGUUGCAAAUUGAUAUCAGGAAGGAGCUAAAAUUUGACGUUAAGGAGGUUGAGGAUGAGGAGAAACGAGCAGCAAUGUUGGCGGAGCAUUUAGAAAGAAGGAAGAAUUGUGUAUUGAUUCUUGAUGAUGUGUGGGAACACCCACUUCUUGACCUUAAAGAGGUGGGAAUCCCUGAUAGUGCAGAUGGAUUUAAGUUGGUCUUAACCACUAGAUCCUUUAAUGUGUGCUGCCAGAUGCGAUGCCAAGAGAAGAUAAAAAUUGAGCCUCUAUCUCAAGAAGUAGCCGAGAGAUUGUUUCUGGUGGAGCUUGGAUCCAAAGGGCCACCUAAUUUGGAAAUUGCGAAGUCCAUUGUUAAAGAAUGCGUAGGCUUGCCAAUUGGAGUAAUCACGAUGGCAAGAAGCAUGCUAGGAGCGACUGAUGUGUUUGAAUGGAGGGAUGCCUUGGAGAGAUUGAAAGAAUCGAGUAUUGGGCUAAAAGAUAUGGAGAACAAGGUGUUAAUGAUUCUGAAAUUCAGUUAUGAUCGCCUUGGUGAUCCCGAUGUCCAACAGUGUUUCUUAUCUUGUGCACUUUAUCCAGAAGACGAAUUGAUUUAUAAGUUCGAGAUGGUAGAAUUCUUUAUCGACCAAGGAUUAAUUGAUGGAUUGAAUACAAGGAAGAAACAAUACGAUAGAGGCCUCACCAUAUUGAACAAACUGAUAAAAGUUUGCCUAUUGGAAGAUGAUGGGGACUAUAUGAAGAUGCACGAUUUGAUUAGAGACAUGGCAUUGCAAAUCAUGAGUGCGACUUCAAUUGUAAAAGCAAGAAAGGGAUUGAAGAGGAUUCCACUUGAGGAAUAUUGGACGGAUGCUUUGGAGAAAGUGUCUCUAAUGAAAAAUAACAUUAGCGAAUUUCCGUUGAACUUGUCACCAAAUUGCCCCAAGCUAUCAACUCUUCUAUUGGAUUAUGGCUUGCAUGAUGUGGUCAUACCUGAUUCUUUCUUCAAAAAUUUAUGUGGGCUAAAGGUUCUAAAUCUAAGUAGAAUUGAUAUGACAGAACUUCCAAAUUCCAUCUCAGACUUGGUAAACUUGAGGGCACUAUUGCUUGGAGAUUGUAUGGAAUUGCGCCGUAUUCCUUAUCUAGGGAAGCUCACAUCUUUAAGAAAGUUGGACGCUAAAAACUGUAGGAGUCUUGAAGCGCUCGAGGGUUUGGAAAAGUUGGUGAACUUGAGAUACCUUGACCUUAUUAAAACACGUAUUGAGAGAUUGCCCAAAGGAACGUUGGACCAUUUAUUAAACUUGCAAUAUCUUAAAUUUCCGGCGGUAAAUGAAGAAGACAUUACAAAAUUGGGGGCAUUGGAGACAUUUGAAUGCUACCUUAAAAAUGUGGAUGAUUUUGACAAGUGUGUGAAGGCUAUUGAGCAGAGUAAUAACACUCGCUAUUACAACCUCAUCGUGGAUCUAGGAAAACCAGAGUUUUUUGUGCAAGUAAGUGAUGAUACUCGAUGUGGGAGUUUUGAGAAUUUGGGGAGGAGAGUCAUCAAUAGGGACUGGGGUCAUGCCAUUGUGAGUGUGGGAGGCGAAUGCACCGGCAUUUUUAUUUUGAUUCCCCGAGACGUGCAGGCAAUGAUGAUGAAAAAAUGCAACGGUACAACAAAUUUGUCUAGCAUAGGUCUGCUUAAAUACCUCGAAGAGCUAGAAAUAGAAAGAUGGGAAAACAUAGGGGUGCUAUGUGGAGAACGAGACGAAGAAGUAAUUAACAUCCACGACUCCCUCGCCCGAACCCCUAUGUCUCUCCUCUUCCCGAGCCUUAGGGUUUUGAAAAUAUGGAAAUGUCCGAAGCUGAAGUAUCUCUUUGGGCAUGGGUCUAAAUCCAACCUUCCGCAUCUACGAAAGAUU